AUCCGGCUGACGAGUCUGCAAUAGGACGAAGCGCGAGUCCUGGAU
This is a non-coding RNA of Schistosoma curassoni, 45 nucleotides long. The record is from Rfam. NCBI's taxonomy places the organism in Eukaryota, Metazoa, Platyhelminthes, Trematoda, Strigeidida, Schistosomatidae.